This 103-nucleotide small nuclear RNA is filed under the name Gorilla gorilla gorilla (western lowland gorilla). The record is from RNAcentral. Lineage: Eukaryota; Metazoa; Chordata; Mammalia; Primates; Hominidae.
GUGUUGCUUUGGCAGCUCAUAUACUGAAAUUAGAAUAACAUGGAGAUUAGCAUGGCCUCUGUUCAAGAACAACAUGUAAAUUCAUGAAGCAUUCCAUUUUUUU